Molecule: non-coding RNA, 93 nt
Organism: Acanthosepion pharaonis
Lineage: Eukaryota; Metazoa; Mollusca; Cephalopoda; Sepiida; Sepiidae
Source: the annotation of a GenBank genome assembly
AUAACACCGGCUCUCAUACUAUCACCGAAGUUAAGCAACGUCGAGCCUAGUCUGUACCUAAAUAGGUGACCACUUGAGAAUGCCCGGUGCUAU